Molecule: ribosomal RNA, 389 nt
Filed under: uncultured bacterium
Lineage: Bacteria
Description: bacterial SSU rRNA
Rfam family: Bacterial small subunit ribosomal RNA
Source: RNAcentral
AUUGAACGCUGGCGGAAUGCUUUACACAUGCAAGUCGAGCGGCAGCGCGGGGGCAACCCUGGCGGCGAGCGGCGAACGGGUGAGUAACAUAUCGGAACGUACCCCGUCGUGGGGGAUAACACAGCGAAAGCUGUGCUAAUACCGCAUACGACCUGAGGGUGAAAGCGGGGGAUCGCAAGACCUCGCGCGAUGGGAGCGGCCGAUAUCGGAUCAGCUUGUUGGUGAGGUAAAGGCUCACCAAGGCGACGAUCCGUAGCUGGUCUGAGAGGACGACCAGCCACACUGGAACUGAGACACGGUCCAGACUCCUACGGGAGGCAGCAGUGGGGAAUUUUGGACAAUGGGGGCAACCCUGAUCCAGCCAUUCCGCGUGAGUGAAGAAGGCCUUC